Molecule: ribosomal RNA, 849 nt
Filed under: Bacillus velezensis
Lineage: Bacteria; Bacillati; Bacillota; Bacilli; Caryophanales; Bacillaceae
Description: bacterial SSU rRNA
Rfam family: Bacterial small subunit ribosomal RNA
Source: RNAcentral
UCGAGCGGACAGAUGGGAGCUUGCUCCCUGAUGUUAGCGGCGGACGGGUGAGUAACACGUGGGUAACCUGCCUGUAAGACUGGGAUAACUCCGGGAAACCGGGGCUAAUACCGGAUGGUUGUUUGAACCGCAUGGUUCAAACAUAAAAGGUGGCUUCGGCUACCACUUACAGAUGGACCCGCGGCGCAUUAGCUAGUUGGUGAGGUAACGGCUCACCAAGGCGACGAUGCGUAGCCGACCUGAGAGGGUGAUCGGCCACACUGGGACUGAGACACGGCCCAGACUCCUACGGGAGGCAGCAGUAGGGAAUCUUCCGCAAUGGACGAAAGUCUGACGGAGCAACGCCGCGUGAGUGAUGAAGGUUUUCGGAUCGUAAAGCUCUGUUGUUAGGGAAGAACAAGUGCCGUUCAAAUAGGGCGGCACCUUGACGGUACCUAACCAGAAAGCCACGGCUAACUACGUGCCAGCAGCCGCGGUAAUACGUAGGUGGCAAGCGUUGUCCGGAAUUAUUGGGCGUAAAGGGCUCGCAGGCGGUUUCUUAAGUCUGAUGUGAAAGCCCCCGGCUCAACCGGGGAGGGUCAUUGGAAACUGGGGAACUUGAGUGCAGAAGAGGAGAGUGGAAUUCCACGUGUAGCGGUGAAAUGCGUAGAGAUGUGGAGGAACACCAGUGGCGAAGGCGACUCUCUGGUCUGUAACUGACGCUGAGGAGCGAAAGCGUGGGGAGCGAACAGGAUUAGAUACCCUGGUAGUCCACGCCGUAAACGAUGAGUGCUAAGUGUUAGGGGGUUUCCGCCCCUUAGUGCUGCACGUAACGCAUUAAGCACUCCGCCUGGGGAGUACGGUCGCAAG